Molecule: ribosomal RNA, 498 nt
Filed under: uncultured bacterium
Lineage: Bacteria
Description: partial 16S ribosomal RNA
Rfam family: Bacterial small subunit ribosomal RNA
Source: RNAcentral
GACGAACGCUGGCGGCGUGCCUAAUACAUGCAAGUCGAACGAGAGCGACCGGUGCUUGCACUGGUCAAUCUAGUGGCGAACGGGUGAGUAACACGUGGGUAACCUGCCCAUCAGAGGGGGAUAACAUCCGGAAACGGAUGCUAAAACCGCAUAGGUCUUCGAACCGCAUGGUUUGAAGAGGAAAAGAGGCGUAAGCUUCUGCUGAUGGAUGGACCCGCGGUGCAUUAGCUAGUUGGUGGGGUAACGGCUCACCAAGGCCGUGAUGCAUAGCCGACCUGAGAGGGUGAUCGGCCACAUUGGGACUGAGACACGGCCCAAACUCCUACGGGAGGCAGCAGUAGGGAAUCUUCCGCAAUGGACGCAAGUCUGACGGAGCAACGCCGCGUGAGUGAAGAAGGUUUUCGGAUCGUAAAACUCUGUUGUUAGAGAAGAACAAGUGCUAGAGUAACUGUUAGCGCCUUGACGGUAUCUAACCAGAAAGCCACGGCUAACUACGUG